This 82-nucleotide unclassified non-coding RNA is filed under the name Paenimyroides ummariense. RNAcentral describes it as "Flavobacterium ummariense Flavo-1 RNA". Lineage: Bacteria; Pseudomonadati; Bacteroidota; Flavobacteriia; Flavobacteriales; Flavobacteriaceae. The record is from RNAcentral.
UUGUAGCCUUUGGUAACUGCGUGAGAGAUAGAAGCGAAAAGCCCGCAAGAAUGAGGACUUGAAGCGCAUAGCCCGACGAAGG